This is a long non-coding RNA of Boleophthalmus pectinirostris (great blue-spotted mudskipper), 4858 nucleotides long. RefSeq lists it as uncharacterized. The transcript is spliced from 3 exons. The record is from RefSeq and is a predicted model, not a curated record. Lineage: Eukaryota; Metazoa; Chordata; Actinopteri; Gobiiformes; Gobiidae.
GAGACGGGGGGAAAGCUGAUUGCCCUCCAGGAAGCGCAUGGUGUGACUGUACAACGGAGACCUCCACAUUCCUCCUGGGGCAGAGGACGGGCGUUGCUAGGAGAUGGUGUUGCCACGGCGGAUGCUGUUGCUGCCUCCGUCGAUGUGCAGAAGGACGUGGUUUCAAUCUGAGGGGGAUAGGGAGGCAAAGAGGGGAAAAUCUGGAGCGUUUGGGGACAUGUAAUGAGCUCCCCAGUCUCUAGGGGGCACUCUUGGCACCUGAGUCACACAGACAAUACUUCUGCCCCUAGUGCUCAUCCUCAAACGGGGACCAAUACAGUAGCAGGCCUGGUAGUUCAGAGGGGUAAUAACUCAGCGUAGACAUGGAAUCAUAAGUGGAUAUAUUUAUAUUAUUUUGAAAUAUUUAUAUGUAAAACCUAUUAUAAUAUCCACUUUGUAAAAUGUAUCGAAACAAAAGCAAAAGUACAUUAGCAUGCUCCCUGGAUGUUCAGAACUUUUGUACGUGAAGCAAUUAAAGAUAUGGGGUAAAACUACAGAACAGAAGGAAAUGCUGCUGUGUUUCUCAAACUGUGGUGCAGGUUGAUUUUAGUGGUACAUGGGAUCCCCUGCACUUAUCUUUUAAAGUAUUUAUUUUAUUUAGAGACAAAUGUAUUUGUCUGUAAUCAUUAUUUAGAGCAACACAUUUAGUCUAAUUUUAGACCUAAUUUAAUUUAUACUCAUUUUUUAAUAUUUUAGGUCUGGUGGUACUCAGAAAGCGACAUCUUUUCUUAGGUAGUGUUUGGUCUGAAAUGUUUGAGAACCACUGAAAUAAUGGAUUACCUAAAAUCCAAAUAUAGCAUGUCCCAUAUAGUAGGCCUACACCUUUCUCAUAUUUAAAGUGUAAAAAAAAGUACUGGUUUGUUUACAGGAAUGGCACGUUUUCAUAAGCAUUAACUGCAACUGACAAUGCCCUGUUUAGAAAUCAACCAACAUGGGUUUGUCAUGGCCAGUGCUAAUAUUGAUUGUUUAGAAUACAGAGCAACCGAAGGCCAGUAAGUUUUGCUGAUAUUUUUGGCCAAUAUGUUGGUCUGAGACUGAUUGAUUUGAUAUUUAAACCAAAUUAUGUUACUCCCCCAAGCCAUUUUUUACCACAAACCUUUAAGAAAGCUGUAUAGUCAAGUUUUGUGCAGCCAUCUUUUUGAAUUCAAGUGUUAAUAUAAAGCUUUGCGUGUAUUGGCCUAUUCUGGAGAUUUAAAGCCAAUAUCCAUUACGUUAAAUAGUCCAAAUGUCCAACCAAUACAUCGUCUAUCUCCAGUCCUGUUACCAGUGAUUCAUUGUACGUAUUGUGUUAAUGAGUGACUGAACCUUCAUCUCAACCACAUCGACUAACACAUAUCUGUCCGACAGUGCUGAAGUUUCGAGAUGUGGACUGAGUGAUUUGACUAGUGGUGAUUGUGCCUGAGGAAAAGUGGCUGCGAUGCUGGAGGCCUGGUUCACGUGUUCUGUCUGGAGACUGGUGCAGCUCCGGGUCCAAACUGUAAGCGCGUUGCCAUGGUGACCCAUAGCCUGGGAUCCAGACUAAUUUUCUAAAACAGAAGAUCUGAUCUGAUCACCACUUCCUCAAUCAAUCAGGUGCAAUCAGGUUUGUUUAUUUCAGUACACAAGGUAAACUGACAAACUCAUUGGCCAUCUACUAUUUAGAAUUAUUCUCAAACUUCUCUCUCUUCAUAUUAACAGUGUUUAGGGUUUCACUCAUUGAUUUUGCAGAAAUCUGUGAUGUUUCUCAGUUCCAAGUGUUAUUUUUUUCCGUCUUAUUCCUCGCAAGCAGCCAUGUUUGUUUUGUAGUGAACAGACCAUGAAAUUCUCCGAUUGGCUAAUCCGUCUGUCAAUCACGCCAGUCUGCACUCACAGAGAUAACACCAGUGUCCAGACUACAUGUUUUUGUAUAGAGAAAGCAGUUUUGACUGGUCAGGCAAAGUGGCUGAACACCAGGACCACUGAAACUGAUGUACUUACAUGUAGACAUAUGAUAUAUUUUGAAAGUGUGUUGGUUAGAAAAACAAUUGUAGUGUGCUCUUUAUAGAAUACUUGCAUAGGUAUAGUUAGAUGGACAAUUGGCAAUGCUAUAGACUCUAUGACUAUCAAAUCUGGACUAAAAUAAAUAAUUUUAAAAAUGUAUGUAUGUAUGUAUUGUUCACUAUUAUUACACAUUUGGAAGUAUUGUUUUAAAACAACUGGUAAAAUACAGCAUGACAUUUUUGAUUUCUUCCUUCAUUUGAGAUUUCCCUGGAGUGUAGAGCACUUAUUGUAACUUCAGUUUAGUUCUCCACAGACAGAAUGACAGAGGAGUCCUGUGGGACCAGCUCCCCAGGGACCGGUCCCACAGGAUGAGGGCCCAGUGACAGUGUCCAAGUGUCCGAGUGUCUGCUGCACUCACCGGGCUGUGACAGGAGCAGACAGGCGCAGGUUAUGAGGAGUCUGCACUAUCACAAGCAUAUCAACUCUCUCUGCAGGUAGACUCUUACAAGGAAACAACUGUAGUUAGUCAUACUAUUUACAAUCUACUUAUUUCAAAUAAGAUAAACUUUGACACACAUUCCCAGUCUGGUUUUCACAUAUUUAAAGAUAAUUUUGAAAAUAAAUCCAUAACCUGUACCCUCAUCCAGACCCUAACCUUAAGCAUAAUUCAAAACCAGGCCCUAACCAUAACCCUAAAACCCAACAAAUGUAGGAACAUAGAUGAUUGCUGGCAGUGGUAUUACAGCAAAACUUUUCUCAUUUGAAAGUUGUGAAAAGUGCUUUCAUUCAUUAGAAAAGUAAGGAAUAAGUUUGGGCUGCAACAAACUGUUUGUUUGAACUAGUAAUGUUUUUCAUGUUUUUAAGAAAGUAAAAAUCAGGUAAGCACCUUUUUAAAAUGAAGGUAGUGCAGCAUAUUUGAUGGGUAGCCUUGCUUUAGAGUUGUAAAGUGUUUGCACAUGCAGUGAAACAGUGAGGAAGGACCUGAACGGCAUCACACGUCAUCUCCUCACAAUCUGCUCUGACUCUCAGACAGCUGCCACCAUUGUUUAUUAGAGAUAGACUGAUGUAUCAGAUCAGGACAAUAUUUGCCCUUUUAGCUUAUGAGCUAUUAGCCUUAAACUGUGAGCAGAGGUCAACUUGAAUAUUUUUUGGUGUUGACAACCUGCUUAAAGGAAAAACUUAAAGGUUUAAUUUGAACACAUACUUGCUGAAAUUGCAGCAAAAAAGUGACACGGGUCUCUCAUAGUUUAGUUUUGUGGCAGUGGGGGAGUUUGUUGUAAAGUCACUUUAUUGGUAUUGAUGAUUGGCUUUUAUUAUUUGGGGAAAAUUAUACAUUUUGGCUCUUGGCUUCUAAAUAAUCAAAACUGUAAACUCUAAAUAUUCAGCAUUGCCAAGAAAAAAAAAAACAUCAGUAGAUCUUUAUUGUUUAUAACUGACCAAGUUUAAACAGAUACGUACAGGCUCUAUAAAGCUUAUUAAGAUAUAAAAUUUUAAAAAAAACCAUUAUGAAUAUUCUAAGUAUGGAUGAAUAUUUAUGUACGAUCCAAUAGUACUUAAAGGCAUUGCUGGCUCGUGGCUACUUUGUAUGGAGGCCUGCGGUCAAACACGAUUGGCUUAAAGGCACAAGGAUGCAUGUGUGCUGGUAGGUGCACAAUUAGCUGCAGCUCCUAGUUUAUUUUUCUCCACUUCUUACAAACUUUGAUGGAAAGGAAUUUGUAAUAUUUAGCAAAGAAAUAAGCUGUUCUCAAGAUGCUCUUAGAUCCUGUACAGCUCACUAUAGUAACAUGAUGAGAUUAACACUAAUUGACUUUUUACAUAAGAACCUUGUUACUAAUUGUUCAAAGCAUUCCUUAUUUUGCUAUAUGUAACAAAAUACAGUAAAAAGGGUAAAAAUAACUAAACAUCAGACAUUUUUGAAUAAUUUACCUUUAAUUCCUUUAUUUGAUCAUCAUUUCUCAUUUAUAAAUUGCUAUAAACAACUGAUGAUAAAGUGAAUAUAUAGGCUGUCAUGAUACUUCUUUGAUUUUUAUGUAUUUUUAUUAUUGACAUUCUCUCUCCCAAAAGAUCUGCCUCUUCUUUGCUCUUGCCAGGUGACCACUGUCCACUGAACCCAUACAGUGGAUGUGUACAUGUGAGGUCAGUGCUGUGACACAUGAGGGAGGGAGCACCCGAGCACCUGGAUAGCACCCAGCACAGAGGAGUGGUCAGGCGUGAAAGUCAACAUGGCAUCACGAAACAGCAGCACGCCAACGUACCACCACCAGGAAUCACCGCAGACAGACACAUCCUUCAGUGUAGCGUUCAGACUGAUGAUGUUUUGGUCCCUCCAUAUGGCCCUUCCCUACCUAUCCUGUUGUUGCAAUAGUCCAGGAGACCUCUGUAGUGAGUGGGUGUCAGGUGGCAGGCUCUGGGCUCCUGUAGGUGGACAGUGGACCACAGGACAACCGGUUCGGGACAGCUGUGACAUAAUGAGGCCAGUAAACAAGCAUGUGUCUCCCCCAUGGACACCUCCUCACAGCGGGAUGCUCCUCCUGUGUGCUUCUCACUGUCAGGGCACUCAGGGCCAAAUGGUCAGAAGAAAGAGGCUCACGUCAUAUUACGGGCCAAACAAUGGACAUGGGAUUAGGCCUGCCACUCACACCAGGGCCACCACGGUCAAACUUACUAUCACAUAUUUCAUUACAUACAAAAACAGGAUCCAGAAUUAUUCAAGAUUAAAUAUAUGUGAAAAGAUCUCUAUAACUUAUCAGGCGCACCCACUGAUAACCUCAGUUAUCAUUCAAGAAUAUAAAAUCAUCGAUAUCAGCAGGCUUAAACAAAUGGCUUUUAAAAUGGACUGACCAUAACACAAAUAUUAAGA